GCCGGAGUGGCGGAACUGGCAGACGCCCAGGACUUAAAAUCCUGUGGGAGGCGACUCCCGUACCGGUUCGAUUCCGGUUUCCGGCACCA
RNAcentral lists this transfer RNA (89 nucleotides) under Oscillospiraceae bacterium. RNAcentral describes it as "tRNA-Leu". It matches the Rfam family "tRNA". Rfam says of the family: Transfer RNA (tRNA) molecules are approximately 80 nucleotides in length. Lineage: Bacteria; Bacillati; Bacillota; Clostridia; Eubacteriales; Oscillospiraceae. The record is from RNAcentral.